This 639-nucleotide ribosomal RNA is filed under the name uncultured bacterium. Its description in RNAcentral is "bacterial SSU rRNA". It matches the Rfam family "Bacterial small subunit ribosomal RNA", at positions 232 to 885 of the family's 1533-position model. The record is from RNAcentral.
CGCGGCCUAUCAGCUUGUUGGCGGGGUAAAAGCCCACCAAGGCUCUGACGGGUAGCCGGCUCGAGAGGGUGUACGGCCACAAUGGGACUGAGACACGGCCCACACUCCUACGGGAGGCAGCAGUUGGGAAUAGUUCGCAAUGGGGGAAACCCUGACGACGCGACGCCGCGUGCGGGAUGAAGCCCUUCGGGGUGUAAACCGCUUUUCUGCAGGAAAAAGAUCUGAUGGUACUGCAGGAAUAAGCAGUUGCUAACUCUGUGCCAGCAGCAGCGGUAAUACAGAGACUGCAAGCGUUUUCCGGAUUCAUUGGGCGUAAAGCGUCCGCAUACUGUUUUAUAAGUCGAGCUUGAAAUCCGGCGGCUCAACCGUCGACACGGGUUCGAUACUGUAAGACUAGAGAACUUGAGAGGCUGAUGGAAUUCCCGGUGUAGUAGUGAAAUGCGUUAAUAUCGGGAAGAACACCAAUUGCGAAGGCAGUCAGCUGGCAAGUUUCUGACGUUCAGGGACGAAAGCGUGGGUAGCGAACGGGAUUAGAUACCCCGGUAGUCCACGCCGUAAACGAUGGGUACUAGGCUUAGGAGCUUCGACAGCACCUGAGUCGCAAGCUAACGCGUUAAGUACCCCGCCUGGGGAGUACGG